CCCGAGUGGCGGACGGGUGAGUAACGCGUGGGAACCUGUCGCGUGGUGGGGGAUAACGCUGGGAAACCGGCGCUAAUACCGCAUAUGGCCCCUUUUAGGGGAGCAAAGCAGCAAUGCGCCGUGCGAGGGGCCCGCGUCCGAUUAGCUUGUUGGUGGGGUAACGGCCUACCAAGGCGACGAUCGGUAGCUGGUCUGAGAGGAUGGUCAGCCACACUGGGACUGAGAUACGGCCCAG
This 235-nucleotide ribosomal RNA is filed under the name uncultured bacterium. RNAcentral describes it as "partial 16S ribosomal RNA". It matches the Rfam family "Bacterial small subunit ribosomal RNA", at positions 90 to 334 of the family's 1533-position model. The record is from RNAcentral.